RNAcentral lists this transfer RNA (67 nucleotides) under Mycolicibacterium rhodesiae. RNAcentral's name for it is "tRNA-Ser". It matches the Rfam family "tRNA". Rfam says of the family: Transfer RNA (tRNA) molecules are approximately 80 nucleotides in length. The record is from RNAcentral. Lineage: Bacteria; Bacillati; Actinomycetota; Actinomycetes; Mycobacteriales; Mycobacteriaceae.
ACCGCCGUGAACGGGUCUGAGCUGCCUCCGGAGCAGAAGGCCGCAGGUUCGAAUCCUGCCGGGGGCA